GAUGAACGCUGGCGGCGUGCCUAAUACAUGCAAGUCGAGCGAACGGACGAGAAGCUUGCUUCUCUGAUGUUAGCGGCGGACGGGUGAGUAACACGUGGAUAACCUACCUAUAAGACUGGGAUAACUUCGGGAAACCGGAGCUAGUACCGGAUAAUAUUUUGAACCGCAUGGUUCAAAAGUGAAAGACGGUCUUGCUGUCACUUAUAGGUGGAUCCGCGCUGCAUUAGCUAGUUGGUAAGGUAACGGCUUACCAAGGCAACGAUGCAUAGCCGACCUGAGAGGGUGAUCAGCCACACUGGAACUGAGACACGGUCCAGACUCCUACGGGAGGCAGCAGUAGGGAAUCUUCCGCAAUGGGCGAAAGCCUGACGGAGCAACGCCGCGUGAGUGAUGAAGGUCUUCGGAUCGUAAAACUCUGUUAUUAGGGAAGAACAUAUGUGUAAGUAACUGUGCACAUCUUGACGGUACCUAAUCAGAAAGCCACGGCUAACUACGUG
RNAcentral lists this ribosomal RNA (497 nucleotides) under uncultured bacterium. RNAcentral describes it as "partial 16S ribosomal RNA". It matches the Rfam family "Bacterial small subunit ribosomal RNA", at positions 28 to 507 of the family's 1533-position model. The record is from RNAcentral.